This 164-nucleotide ribosomal RNA is filed under the name Calamus dumetosus. RNAcentral's name for it is "5.8S ribosomal RNA". It matches the Rfam family "5.8S ribosomal RNA". From Rfam's summary of the family: 5.8S ribosomal RNA (5.8S rRNA) is a component of the large subunit of the eukaryotic ribosome. It is transcribed by RNA polymerase I as part of the 45S precursor that also contains 18S and 28S rRNA. The record is from RNAcentral. Lineage: Eukaryota; Viridiplantae; Streptophyta; Magnoliopsida; Arecales; Arecaceae.
GGUACGACUCUCAAAAAUGGAUAUCUCGGCUCUUGCAUCGAUGAAGAAUGUAACAAAAUGCGAUACAUGGUGCGAAUUGCAGAAUCCCAUGAAUCAUUGAGUCUUCGAAUGCAAGUUGCACCCGAGGCCAUCUGGCCGAGGGCAUGCCUGCUUGGGCACCAACC